GGACUUAAAGUCCAAUUGCCGAAGACAGUAGGUGCGAAAGCGUAAUUAUUUAUUAAGCCUACCGAGGAGUUAGAUAAAUAAGAUUAUUUACACCUCUCUAUGUCUAGGCAUGGAGAGGUUUUUGUUGAUUAGA
Eubacterium uniforme is the source of this 133-nucleotide non-coding RNA. Lineage: Bacteria; Bacillati; Bacillota; Clostridia; Eubacteriales; Eubacteriaceae. The record is from Rfam.